AGCAGUCGCCACGGGAAUACGUAGGGUGCGAGCGUUAAUCGGAAUUACUGGGCGUAAAGCGUGCGCAGGCGGUUAUAUAAGACAGAUGUGAAAUCCCCGGGCUCAACCUGGGACCUGCAUUUGUGACUGUGUAGCUAGAGUACGAUAGAGGGGGAUGGAAUUCCGCGUGUAGCAGUGAAAUGCGUAGAUAUGCGGAGGAACACCGAUGGCGAAGGCAAUCCCCUGGACCUGUACUGACGCUCAUGCACGAAAGCGUGGGAAGCAAACAGGAUUAGAUACCCGUGUAGUCCCUGUCUCUUAUAC
RNAcentral lists this ribosomal RNA (303 nucleotides) under uncultured bacterium. RNAcentral's name for it is "partial 16S ribosomal RNA". It matches the Rfam family "Bacterial small subunit ribosomal RNA", at positions 507 to 807 of the family's 1533-position model. The record is from RNAcentral.